Apodemus sylvaticus (European woodmouse) is the source of this 132-nucleotide small nucleolar RNA. RefSeq annotates it as small nucleolar RNA SNORA17. The record is from RefSeq and is a predicted model, not a curated record. Lineage: Eukaryota; Metazoa; Chordata; Mammalia; Rodentia; Muridae. The transcript has a single exon.
UCUGCUCUAAGAAGAACUGCAGGUAUGGCUGCUUUGUCAAAUAUGCAUCAGUAGGAGGCAGAGAGGAGAGAGGCUGUGUCUAUGUGCUGUGCUGUGACAUGUGAACAUCUAAAUGAUUAGCUGCCUGACCCU